Molecule: transfer RNA, 71 nt
Filed under: Loxodonta africana (African savanna elephant)
Lineage: Eukaryota; Metazoa; Chordata; Mammalia; Proboscidea; Elephantidae
Rfam family: tRNA
About the family: Transfer RNA (tRNA) molecules are approximately 80 nucleotides in length. Their secondary structure includes four short double-helical elements and three loops (D, anti-codon, and T loops).
Source: Rfam by way of RNAcentral
CCAGUGGUGGUUCAGUGGUAGAAUUCUUGCCUUCCAUGCAGGAGACCUGGGUUCAACUCCCAGCCAAUGCA